UAUACCCUAGAAAUUCCCUAGUUCACAACCAAUUAGCACUCUGAACGAACUCCCAAGAUUGGGAUACCGGCUUAAGCUUGCCUAGCUCAUCAAAACAACCGCCUCGUUGUUGUCGGAUUGUUGACUUCAUAGGUUAACGGCAGAAAAAUAAUAAAAAUAAGCUUUUUGAGUGUCGAAACGCACACAGAGAUAAGGUUAUUAAUGAAGACAGCACAUCAGAGAUUAGUUAUGGUUGGCGAUCGCGACGGGCUGAAGGAAUUGCUGAGGCGCAGACUGGUCGAGUGCGGAUGGCGGGAUCAGGUGAAGCUGAUCGCGAAGGAGAUAAUAAAGGAGCACGGCCACGACAUCACCUAUGACAUGCUGCUGUCCGCAGUGACGAGCAGGGCUCGCACGCUUGUGCCGGACUCUGUGAAGAAGGAGCUGCUGCAGAAGAUAAAGAAUCAGCUGUUGGCCCAAGAGGAGAAGCUGAAGAUUGUGACGGACCGUUAGGAAUCUUAUUUGGAUUAGUAUUAAUUAUUGACAAUUUCCCCCCCCCCCCCAAUGACAACUAUGUUAAACACACUCGUAAGCGAGUCAUGACACUCAUGACAGGAAUUGUGCUCUUUGAACAAUUUAUUAUGUGACACGUGUUACAAUUAUUACUUUAAUAUAUAUAAACAAUUUUUUUAUUAAAAGGCAAACUGUUAUUUUACUUCAUUAGAAUGUACGUCUAAUAAUUAGAAUAGAAUGUAAUUAUUUAAUUUAAAGUGAGUUUAGGGAAAUGUACAUUUGCAAAAGAGUAUUUUUUACAUAAUCUCUUGUACUUAUAUUUUAAUCUGAAAUGUACAAGAUUGUACGAAUUAAAAAUAUUUAGUUUCUCAAGUGAAUUUAAUUUGAAUUAUUGCGGCGUCAGAGAUAAGUAAAACUACAUUGAUGUAUAUUCUAUUCGCGGUAAUUACGCUCGUCGCCGGCAGACGGCGACACCGGGCACGCCGCAAUUCCGCAUCGAGCUAGGUUAAGGUGAUUUCGUGCGGCAGAGUGACACUAUUUGGCGAUUUGUAGAUUUUUUGGUUCAACCGUCCAAUUUUUUCCUCCGACGUCGGCGAGUUUCGACCGGUGGCACUACAGCGUUAAUUAUUUAGCGUAACCGUUAAUAGUUGAAAGAUGUUGAUAAAAGUGAAGACUCUCACGGGGAAGGAGGCAAGUAUCCUGAAAACAAAGCGGUUUUACAAGACCGAGCGACGCACGUGAUGCUCGGGAUGCUAAA
Wasmannia auropunctata (little fire ant) is the source of this 1246-nucleotide RNA transcript. It is a transcript of the gene named NEDD8, with no coding region annotated. NCBI's taxonomy places the organism in Eukaryota, Metazoa, Arthropoda, Insecta, Hymenoptera, Formicidae. The transcript is spliced from 3 exons. The record is from RefSeq and is a predicted model, not a curated record.